GACGAACGCUGGCGGCGUGCUUAACACAUGCAAGUCGAACGGAAAGGCCCUGCUUUUGUGGGGUGCUCGAGUGGCGAACGGGUGAGUAACACGUGAGUAACCUGCCCAUGACUUUGGGAUAACUUCAGGAAACUGGGGCUAAUACCGGAUAGGAGCUCCUGCUGCAUGGUGGGGGUUGGAAAGUUUCGGCGGUUGGGGAUGGACUCGCGGCUUAUCAGCUUGUUGGUGGGGUAGUGGCUUACCAAGGCUUUGACGGGUAGCCAGCCUGAGAGGGUGACCGGCCACAUUGGGACUGAGAUACGGCCCAGACUCCUACGGGAGGCAGCAGUGGGGAAUAUUGCACAAUGGGCGGAAGCCUGAUGCAGCAACGCCGCGUGCGGGAUGACGGCCUUCGGGUUGUAAACCGCUUUCGCCUGUGACGAAGCGUGAGUGACGGUAAUGGGUAAAGAAGCACCGGCUAACUACGUG
Molecule: ribosomal RNA, 468 nt
Filed under: uncultured bacterium
Lineage: Bacteria
Description: partial 16S ribosomal RNA
Rfam family: Bacterial small subunit ribosomal RNA
Source: RNAcentral